GCGUCCUUAGCUCAACGGAUAGAGCACCGGUCUUCGGAACCGGCAAUGGGGGUUCGAUUCCCUCAGGACGCACCA
RNAcentral lists this transfer RNA (75 nucleotides) under Patescibacteria group bacterium. Its description in RNAcentral is "tRNA-Arg". It matches the Rfam family "tRNA". Rfam says of the family: Transfer RNA (tRNA) molecules are approximately 80 nucleotides in length. RNAcentral also lists the same sequence under 1 other name. The record is from RNAcentral.